RNAcentral lists this unclassified non-coding RNA (244 nucleotides) under Hevea brasiliensis (rubber tree). Lineage: Eukaryota; Viridiplantae; Streptophyta; Magnoliopsida; Malpighiales; Euphorbiaceae. The record is from RNAcentral.
UGUUGCAAAAGAAAUAGUUACUGGCAGCAACAAUUAUUGAUCAUUACCAACAAUUGUUGCUGCAUAAAAUUAAAAAUUUUUAAUGCUGCAAAAAAUUAAAAAUUUUACUGAUAACAACAUUUGUUGUCAUAUCUUAUGUACCAUUCACAGCAAUUAUUUAUGUUGUUGCUUAUUUAUGUUGCUGUAUGUUAGCUUUAUCGCAGCAAAAUUAAGUUGGUACAAAAUUUUUUGCUGCUAAUUAUAA